This 77-nucleotide transfer RNA is filed under the name Alphaproteobacteria bacterium. RNAcentral's name for it is "tRNA-His". It matches the Rfam family "tRNA". Rfam says of the family: Transfer RNA (tRNA) molecules are approximately 80 nucleotides in length. Their secondary structure includes four short double-helical elements and three loops (D, anti-codon, and T loops). RNAcentral also lists the same sequence under 2 other names. Lineage: Bacteria; Pseudomonadati; Pseudomonadota; Alphaproteobacteria. The record is from RNAcentral.
GCGGGUGUAGCUCAGUUGGUUAGAGCGCUUGGUUGUGGCCCAAGAGGUCGCCGGUUCAAGUCCGGUCACUCGCCCCA